Molecule: transfer RNA, 71 nt
Rfam family: tRNA
About the family: Transfer RNA (tRNA) molecules are approximately 80 nucleotides in length. Their secondary structure includes four short double-helical elements and three loops (D, anti-codon, and T loops). Further hydrogen bonds mediate the characteristic L-shaped molecular structure. tRNAs have two regions of fundamental functional importance: the anti-codon, which is responsible for specific mRNA codon recognition, and the 3' end, to which the tRNAs corresponding amino acid is attached (by aminoacyl-tRNA synthetases). tRNAs cope with the degeneracy of the genetic code in two manners: having more than one tRNA (with a specific anti-codon) for a particular amino acid; and 'wobble' base-pairing, i.e. permitting non-standard base-pairing at the 3rd anti-codon position.
Source: Rfam
GGCUAGGUAACAUAAUGGAAAUGUAUCGGAUUGCAAAUCUUGGAAUGACAAUUCGACCCCGUCCUUGGCCU